CCCUUAGAUGUUCUGGGCCGCACGCGUGCUACACUGAGUAAUUCAAUGGGUAAGGGAACGCUAGAGCAUUACCUAAUCUUGAAAUUUGCUCGUGAUGGGGAUCGACGGUUGCAAUUUUCCGUCGUGAACGAGGAAUACCUUGUAGGCGCAUGUCAUCAUCAUGCGCCGAAUACGUCCCUGCCCUUUGUACACACCGCCCGUCGCUCCUACCGAUUGAGUGAUCCGAUGAAUACCAUGGAUUGAGAGUACGAAUAGGUUCGCUUAUUUCUGCUUCUCGAGAAGUGGAGUAAAUCUUAUCAUUUAGAGGAAGGAGAAGUCGUAACA
RNAcentral lists this ribosomal RNA (324 nucleotides) under uncultured eukaryote. RNAcentral's name for it is "partial 18S ribosomal RNA". It matches the Rfam family "Eukaryotic small subunit ribosomal RNA", at positions 1470 to 1796 of the family's 1831-position model. The record is from RNAcentral.